AUUGAACGCUGGCGGCAGGCCUAACACAUGCAAGUCGAGCGGAUGAAGGGAGCUUGCUCCUGGAUUCAGCGGCGGACGGGUGAGUAAUGCCUAGGAAUCUGCCUGGUAGUGGGGGAUAACGUCCGGAAACGGGCGCUAAUACCGCAUAAGACCUGAGGGAGAAAGAGGGGGAUCUUCGGACCUCACGCUAUCAGAUGAGCCUAGGUCGGAUUAGCUAGUUGGUGGGGUAAAGACCUACCAAGGCGACGAUCCGUAACUGGUCUGAGAGGCUGAUCAGUCACACUGGAGCGGAGACACGGUCCAGAGUCCUACGGGAGGCAGCAGUGGCGAAUAUUGGACAAUAGGCGGAAGCCUGGUCCAGUCAUGCCGCGUGUGUGAAGAAGGUCUUCGGAUUGUAAAGCACUUUAAGUUGGGAGGAAGGGCAUUAAGUUAAUACCUUGCUGUUUUGGCGUUACCAACAGAAUAAGCACCGGCUAACUUCGUG
Molecule: ribosomal RNA, 484 nt
Filed under: uncultured bacterium
Lineage: Bacteria
Description: partial 16S ribosomal RNA
Rfam family: Bacterial small subunit ribosomal RNA
Source: RNAcentral